RNAcentral lists this ribosomal RNA (403 nucleotides) under uncultured bacterium. Its description in RNAcentral is "bacterial SSU rRNA". It matches the Rfam family "Bacterial small subunit ribosomal RNA", at positions 362 to 757 of the family's 1533-position model. The record is from RNAcentral.
UUUUGGACAAUGGGGGCAACCCUGAUCCAGCAAUGCCGCGUGCAGGAAGAAGGCCUUCGGGUUGUAAACUGCUUUUGUCAGGGAAGAAAUCCUGUGGGUUAAUACCUCGUGGGGAUGACGGUACCUGAAGAAUAAGCACCGGCUAACUACGUGCCAGCAGCCGCGGUAAUACGUAGGGUGCGAGCGUUAAUCGGAAUUACUGGGCGUAAAGCGUGCGCAGGCGGUUUUGUAAGACAGAGGUGAAAUCCCCGGGCUCAACCUGGGAACUGCCUUUGUGACUGCAAGGCUGGAGUACGGCAGAGGGGGAUGGAAUUCCGCGUGUAGCAGUGAAAUGCGUAGAUAUGCGGAGGAACACCGAUGGCGAAGGCAAUCCCCUGGGCCUGUACUGACGCUCAUGCACAAA